AGCUCAGAUGGUUAGAGCGCAGGAUUCAUAACCCUGAGGUCACGGGUUCAAUUCCCGUC
RNAcentral lists this transfer RNA (59 nucleotides) under Bacteroidota bacterium. RNAcentral describes it as "Bacteroidetes bacterium (activated sludge metagenome) tRNA-Met". It matches the Rfam family "tRNA", at positions 9 to 63 of the family's 71-position model. From Rfam's summary of the family: Transfer RNA (tRNA) molecules are approximately 80 nucleotides in length. Their secondary structure includes four short double-helical elements and three loops (D, anti-codon, and T loops). Further hydrogen bonds mediate the characteristic L-shaped molecular structure. tRNAs have two regions of fundamental functional importance: the anti-codon, which is responsible for specific mRNA codon recognition, and the 3' end, to which the tRNAs corresponding amino acid is attached (by aminoacyl-tRNA synthetases). tRNAs cope with the degeneracy of the genetic code in two manners: having more than one tRNA (with a specific anti-codon) for a particular amino acid; and 'wobble' base-pairing, i.e. permitting non-standard base-pairing at the 3rd anti-codon position. RNAcentral also lists the same sequence under 1 other name. The record is from RNAcentral. Lineage: Bacteria; Pseudomonadati; Bacteroidota.